RNAcentral lists this ribosomal RNA (1328 nucleotides) under metagenome. RNAcentral describes it as "bacterial LSU rRNA". It matches the Rfam family "Bacterial large subunit ribosomal RNA", at positions 1579 to 2925 of the family's 2925-position model. The record is from RNAcentral.
AAAAGUAGGGAGGUGUGUAAGCCAUGAAUCAAGAAAAGCCGCUAUUGUUUUUAAGAUACCCGUACCGUAAACCGACACAGGUGGAUGAGGAGAGAAUCCUAAGGCCGGCGGAAGAAGCAUUGUUAAGGAACUCGGCAAAAUGACCCCGUAACUUGGGGAGAAGGGGUGCCAACGAGAGUUGGCCGCAGAGAAUAGGCUCAAGCAACUGUUUAGCAAAAACACAGGUCUAUGCAAAACCGUAAGGUGAGGUAUAUGGGCUGACGCCUGCCCGGUGCUGGAAGGUUAAGAGGAGAGGUUAGCGCAAGCGAAGCUUUGAAUUUAAGCCCCAGUAAACGGCGGCCGUAACAAUAACGGUCCUAAGGUAGCGAAAUUCCUUGUCGGGUAAGUUCCGACCCGCACGAAAGGCGUAAUGAUUUGAGCGCUGUCUCGACAAUGCAUCCGGUGAAAUUGAAGUACCAGUGAAGAUGCUGGUUACCCGCGCCAGGACGGAAAGACCCCAUGGAGCUUUACUCCAGUUUGGUACUGGGGUCCGGCAGUGCAUGUACAGGAUAGGUGGGAGGCUGUGAACCUGGAACGCCAGUUUCAGGGGAGCCAUUGUUGGGAUACCACCCUUGUGCUGCUGGGCUUCUAACCAGCGGCCUUUAUCAGGCCGGGGGACAAUGCCAGACGGGGAGUUUGACUGGGGCGGUCGCCUCCGAAAGGGUAUCGGAGGCGCUCAAAGGUUCCCUCAGAAUGGUCGGAAACCAUUCGAAGAGUGCAAAGGCAGAAGGGAGCUUGACUGCGACACCGACGGGUGGAGCAGGUACGAAAGUAGGACUUAGUGAUCCGGUGGUAUUAAGUGGGAAUGCCAUCGCUCAACGGAUAAAAGCUACCCUGGGAUAACAGGCUUAUCACUCCCAAGAGUUCACAUCGACGGAGUGGUUUGGCACCUCGAUGUCGGCUCAUCGCAUCCUGGGGCUGUAGUAGGUCCCAAGGGUUGGGCUGUUCGCCCAUUAAAGCGGUACGCGAGCUGGGUUCAGAACGUCGUGAGACAGUUCGGUCCCUAUCCGGCGUGGGCGUAGGAUAUUUGAGAGGAGCUGUCCUUAGUACGAGAGGACCGGGAUGGACUGACCUCUGGUGUACCGGUUGAACCGCCAGGUUCACGGCCGGGUAGCCAAGUCGGGAAGGGAUAAACGCUGAAGGCAUCUAAGCGUGAAGCCCCCCUCAAAAUGAGAUAUCCCAUUCGAAAGAAGUAAGACCCCUUGAAGACGACGAGGUAGAUAGGGCAGAGGUGGAAGUGCCGUAAGGCAUGGAGCUGACCGUUACUAAUCGGUCGAGGGCUUGACGAA